GUAGACCUUGUACAAUAGAGCUUAUAGGCUAAUGAGAAGACAGGAAGAAACAACAGGAACACAUAUAGCUGGAAUGCAGAUGGGAUCUGUGCUACUUACGCUAGCCAUGGGAUGAUUAGAACAAGAUAAGAGACAUGAGGAAGACUUCUUCAAGGAGGUGCUCAAGCCAUGUUUUGGAAAAGAGAACUCAAGGUCUGGCAGGGAGAAAGGAGCAAGGGCAAGUAGAGCUGCAGCUGUCUGGCGCCACUGUAAUGCUGUCUCCUCCUCUGAGUGAGUUCAUCCUGGAAACAUUUUCUCCCAUAAGACAUGCACAGGUCUUACGUUUACAUGUUUCACUGAAAGAAAUUUGAUUCCACUGCUGGGAUGACAAGGAAGACUGAAGAAACCUAAUCCUAGGUGCUGCCACUGGGACAAACAAGAAGCACCAGACACAGUGCUGUUUUAGGGUGGGGCAGAAUUAUGCUGAGGGAAAAGUUAUUAUCACUCUUUAAGGCCAAGGAAACCACAAUUUUUAAAGAAGCUUCUAGAAAUUCUACCCAGUAGAAAAUAAAGAUAAACUUCUGUAAGGAA
This 570-nucleotide long non-coding RNA is filed under the name Homo sapiens (human). RNAcentral's name for it is "non-protein coding LINC02532:43". Lineage: Eukaryota; Metazoa; Chordata; Mammalia; Primates; Hominidae. The record is from RNAcentral.